AGAGGGAGGGUAGAUGUGUGGAAUUUGCUUUAUGUUUGGUAAUUGGGGGCCUUUGAGCCCUGAUGGGCUGGGUGACAUCAGUGACUCUCUGAGAGAUAUGAGCUGCUGAGGAGGGAGAGCAGAGAGAGAGAAGGAGGGAGAGAUUAGUCAGCAGAAAUGAUUCAGGACGACGUUCGUCUUUAAAUGUACUUCUUCAUUUCUCUCUUUCCCCACUGAGGAAGAUAAAGGACACACACACACACAGACAGACAGACAGACAGACAGACAGACAGACAGACAGACAGACAGACAGACAGACAGACAGACAGACAGACAGACAGACACGAGGGCUAGGUAAUCAGGUAUUCCUCCCAAGGUGUGUAUAUUGAUUUUAGUUCCCUUCUCAUUAACUAGCUACUGACAGUGACCAGAGAUGGCUAGAUUGAGCUAGAGGGGUGUGUGUGUGUGUGCGUGCAAGCGUGUGUUUUUGUGAGAGAGUUAAUUAACAGGACUUUAGAUAAGAAUGACACACACAGCUCUGAUUCCAUUUUCUGCUUUGUGUUUCAAUUAGGUCUUAGUGGAAUAGUGACUCUCUGAGAGAUACGAGUUGCGGUGUAAACUUUUGUUAUUGACGAAAUACUUAUUUUCCAACAUAAUUUGCAAAUAAAUAAAUUAAAAAUGUGAUUUUCUGGAUUUUUUUCCCUCAUUUUGUAUGUUUAGGGCCUCAUUAUGAAUGGUUAAGGUUUGGGAUAGAGUUACAACAUUAAGUUUAGGGCCUCAUUAUGAAUGGUUAAGGUUUGGGAUAGAGUUUAAAUAUUAAGUUUAGGGCCUCAUUAUGAAUGGUUAAAGUUUGGGAUAGAGUUUAAAUAUUAAGUUUAGGGCCUCAUUAUGAAUGGUUAAGGUUUGGGAUAGAGUUUAAAUAUUAAGUUUAGGGCCUCAUUAUGAAUGGUUAAGGUUUGGGAUAGAGUUUAAAUAUUAAGUUUAGGGCCUCAUUAUGAAUGGUUAAGGUUUGGGAUAGAGUUUAAAUAUUAAGUUUAGGGCCUCAUUAUGAAUGGUUAAGGUUUGGGAUAGAGUUUAAAUAUUAAGUUUAGGGCCUCAUUAUGAAUGGUUAAGGUUUGGGAUAGAGUUUAAAUAUUAAGUUUAGGGCCUCAUUAUGAAUGGUUAAGGUUUGGGAUAGAGUUUAAAUAUUAAGUUUAGGGCCUCAUUAUGAAUGGUUAAGGUUUGGGAUAGAGUUUAAAUAUUAAGUUUAGGGCCUCAUUAUGAAUGGUUAAGGUUUGGGAUAGAGUUUAAAUAUUAAGUUUAGGGCCUCAUUAUGAAUGGUUAAGGUUUGGGAUAGAGUUUAAAUAUUAAGUUUAGGGCCUCAUUAUGAAUGGUUAAGGUUUGGGAUAGAGUUUAAAUAUUAAGUUUAGGGCCUCAUUAUGAAUGGUUAAGGUUUGGGAUAGAGUUUAAAUAUUAAGUUUAGGGCCUCAUUAUGAAUGGUUAAGGUUUGGGAUAGAGUUUAAAUAUUAAGUUUAGGGCCUCAUUAUGAAUGGUUAAGGUUUGGGAUAGAGUUUAAACAUUAAGAUUAGGGCCUCAUUAUGAAUGGUUAAGGUUUGGGAUAGAGUUUAAUUUUAAACGUUAAGUUUAGGGCCUCAUUAUGAAUGGUUAAAGUUUGGGAUAGAGUUUAAACAUUAAGUUUAGGGCCUCAUUAUGAAUGGUUAAGGUUUGGGAUAGAGUUUAAACAUUAAGUUUAGGGCCUCAUUAUGAAUGGUUAAGGUUUGGGAUAGAGUUUAAACAUUAAGUUUAGGGCCUCAUUAUGAAUGGUUAAAGUUUGGGA
Long non-coding RNA from Oncorhynchus keta (chum salmon), 1795 nucleotides. RefSeq lists it as uncharacterized. The transcript is spliced from 5 exons. The record is from RefSeq and is a predicted model, not a curated record. NCBI's taxonomy places the organism in Eukaryota, Metazoa, Chordata, Actinopteri, Salmoniformes, Salmonidae.